GAUAAACGCUGGCGGCGUGCCUAACACAUGCAAGUCGAACGCCCUGGAGCAAUUCAGGGAGUGGCGGACGGGUGAGGAACACGUGGGUGAUCUGCCUUGAGGUGAGGAAUACCGGCGAGAAAUCGCCGACAAUACCGCAUAGGUUCGUAAGAACAAAGUCGCAAGACGCCUUGAGAUGAGCCUGCGUCCGAUUAGCCAGUUGGUGGGGUAAUGGCCUACCAAAGCAGCGAUCGGUAGCUGGUCUGAGAGGACGAUCAGCCACACUGGGAUUGAGAACGGCCC
RNAcentral lists this ribosomal RNA (282 nucleotides) under uncultured bacterium. RNAcentral's name for it is "partial 16S ribosomal RNA". It matches the Rfam family "Bacterial small subunit ribosomal RNA", at positions 28 to 332 of the family's 1533-position model. The record is from RNAcentral.